This 848-nucleotide ribosomal RNA is filed under the name Ramularia coleosporii. RNAcentral describes it as "eukaryotic LSU rRNA". It matches the Rfam family "Eukaryotic large subunit ribosomal RNA", at positions 50 to 929 of the family's 3401-position model. Lineage: Eukaryota; Fungi; Ascomycota; Dothideomycetes; Mycosphaerellales; Mycosphaerellaceae. The record is from RNAcentral.
GCGGAGGAAAAGAAACCAACAGGGAUUGCCCUAGUAACGGCGAGUGAAGCGGCAACAGCUCAAAUUUGAAAUCUGGCGCAAGCCCGAGUUGUAAUUUGUAGAGGAUGCUUCUAGGUAGCGACCGGUCUAAGUUCCUUGGAACAGGACGUCAUAGAGGGUGAGAAUCCCGUAUGUGACCGGCCCGCACCUUCUACGUAGCUCCUUCGACGAGUCGAGUUGUUUGGGAAUGCAGCUCUAAAUGGGAGGUAAAUUUCUUCUAAAGCUAAAUACCGGCCAGAGACCGAUAGCGCACAAGUAGAGUGAUCGAAAGAUGAAAAGCACUUUGGAAAGAGAGUUAAAAAGCACGUGAAAUUGUUGAAAGGGAAGCGCUUACAACCAGACUUCUGGGCGGUGUUCCGCCGGUCUUUUGACCGGUCUACUCGCCGUCCCGAGGCCAACAUCAUCUGGGACCGCUGGAUAAGACCUCAGGAAUGUAGCUCCCCUCGGGGAGUGUUAUAGCCUGUGGUGAUGCAGCGCGUCUCGGGUGAGGUCCGCGCUUCGGCAAGGAUGUUGGCGUAAUGGUUGUCAGCGGCCCGUCUUGAAACACGGACCAAGGAGUCUAACAUCUAUGCGAGUGUUCGGGUGUCAAACCCCUACGCGUAAUGAAAGUGAACGGAGGUGGGAAGGGCAACCUGCACCAUCGACCGAUCCUGAUGUCCUCGGAUGGAUUUGAGUAAGAGCAUAGCUGUUGGGACCCGAAAGAUGGUGAACUAUGCCUGAAUAGGGUGAAGCCAGAGGAAACUCUGGUGGAGGCUCGCAGCGGUUCUGACGUGCAAAUCGAUCGUCAAAUUUGGGUAUAGGGGCGAAAG